Molecule: transfer RNA, 72 nt
Filed under: Camelus bactrianus (Bactrian camel)
Lineage: Eukaryota; Metazoa; Chordata; Mammalia; Artiodactyla; Camelidae
Also listed under: 1 other name
Rfam family: tRNA
About the family: Transfer RNA (tRNA) molecules are approximately 80 nucleotides in length. Their secondary structure includes four short double-helical elements and three loops (D, anti-codon, and T loops). Further hydrogen bonds mediate the characteristic L-shaped molecular structure. tRNAs have two regions of fundamental functional importance: the anti-codon, which is responsible for specific mRNA codon recognition, and the 3' end, to which the tRNAs corresponding amino acid is attached (by aminoacyl-tRNA synthetases). tRNAs cope with the degeneracy of the genetic code in two manners: having more than one tRNA (with a specific anti-codon) for a particular amino acid; and 'wobble' base-pairing, i.e. permitting non-standard base-pairing at the 3rd anti-codon position.
Source: Rfam by way of RNAcentral
GAGGGUAUAGCUCAGUGGCAGAGUGUGUGCUUAGCAUGCAUGAGGUUCUGGGUUCAAUCCCCAGUACCUCCA